Molecule: ribosomal RNA, 305 nt
Filed under: uncultured bacterium
Lineage: Bacteria
Description: bacterial SSU rRNA
Rfam family: Bacterial small subunit ribosomal RNA
Source: RNAcentral
GCCUACGGGAGGCAGCAGUGGGGAAUAUUGGUCAAUGGCCGAGAGGCUGAACCAGCCAAGUCGCGUGAGGGAAGACGGCCCUACGGGUUGUAAACCUCUUUUGUCGGGGAGCAAAGCGAACCACGUGUGGUUCAUUGAGAGUACCCGAAGAAAAAGCAUCGGCUAACUCCGUGCCAGCAGCCGCGGUAGUACGGAGGAUGCGAGCGGUAUCCGGAUUUAUUGGGUUUAAAGGGUGCGCAGGCGGAGGUGCAAGUCAGCGGUCAAAUUGCGGGGCUCAACCCCGUACUGCCGUUGAAACUGCAUCC